Mycena galericulata is the source of this 93-nucleotide non-coding RNA. The record is from the annotation of a GenBank genome assembly. Lineage: Eukaryota; Fungi; Basidiomycota; Agaricomycetes; Agaricales; Mycenaceae.
AACCUGGUGGUGAAGUGUAUCACACCCACCUCUCCUGCCUGCCAUACCUUCCAGGUGAUGUGGGAGUCCUCGGUUCGAGCCCGGGCCGGGUCA